ACAUACUCCCUUCGUUCCAUUAUAAGUGCAACUAUAAGUUUCUGUACCCAAAUUUGAUCAUCCGUCUUAUUUGAAAUUUUUUUAUAAUUAGUAUUUUUAUUGUUAUGAGAUGAUAAAACAUGAAUAGUACUUUAUACGUGACUUAUGUUUAUUAUUUUUCUUUUAAAAAAAAUAAAUAAGACGGACGAUCAAAGUUGAACACGAAAAAUCAUGGCUACACUUAAAAUGGUACGGAGGGAGUAGAAAUCAC
RNAcentral lists this microRNA precursor (250 nucleotides) under Oryza sativa (Asian cultivated rice). RNAcentral's name for it is "partial microRNA MIR438a-2 precursor". The stretch from base 21 to 225 matches the Rfam family "MIR812 microRNA precursor family". The record is from RNAcentral. Lineage: Eukaryota; Viridiplantae; Streptophyta; Magnoliopsida; Poales; Poaceae.